GGUACCGUCAUCCCAACCAGGGUAUUAACCAGCUGGAUUUCUUUCCCAACAAAAGGGCUUUACAACCCGAAGGCCUUCUUCACCCACGCGGUAUGGCUGGAUCAGGCUUGCGCCCAUUGUCCAAUAUUCCCCACUGCUGCCUCCCGUAGGAGUCUGGACCGUGUCUCAGUUCCAGUGUGGCUGAUCAUCCUCUCAGACCAGCUACGGAUCGUCGCC
RNAcentral lists this ribosomal RNA (216 nucleotides) under Stenotrophomonas maltophilia. RNAcentral describes it as "partial 16S rRNA". The record is from RNAcentral. Lineage: Bacteria; Pseudomonadati; Pseudomonadota; Gammaproteobacteria; Lysobacterales; Lysobacteraceae.